AGAGUUUGAUCCUGGCUCAGGACGAACGCUGGCGGCGUGCCUAACACAUGCAAGUCGAACGGGGUGAGGCCCUUCGGGACCUUUACCUAGUGGCGAACGGGUGAGUAACGCGUGAGGAACCUGCCUUUCAGUGGGGGACAACAGUUGGAAACGACUGCUAAUACCGCAUGAAGCUUUUGGGAGACAUCUCCUGGAAGCCAAAGCUUAAUGUGCUGAAAGAUGGCCUCGCGUCUGAUUAGCUAGUUGGUGGGGUAACGGCCCACCAAGGCGACGAUCAGUAGCCGGUCUGAGAGGAUGAACGGCCACAUUGGGACUGAGAUACGGCCCAGACUCCUACGGGAGGCAGCAGUGGGGAAUAUUGGGCAAUGGGCGAAAGCCUGACCCAGCAACGCCGCGUGAAGGAAGAAGGCCUUCGGGUUGUAAACUUCUUUUACCAGGGACGAAGGACGUGACGGUACCUGGAGAAAAAGCAACGGCUAACUACGUGCCAGCAGCCGCGGUAAUACGUAGGUUGCAAGCGUUGUCCGGAUUUACUGGGUGUAAAGGGCGUGUAGGCGGAGAUGCAAGUUAGGAGUGAAAUCUAUGGGCUCAACCCAUAAACUGCUUCUAAAACUGUAUCCCUUGAGUAUCGGAGAGGCAAGCGGAAUUCCUAGUGUAGCGGUGAAAUGCGUAGAUAUUAGGAGGAACACCAGUGGCGAAGGCGGCUUGCUGGACGACAACUGACGCUGAGGCGCGAAAGCGUGGGGAGCAAACAGGAUUAGAUACCCUGGUAGUCCACGCUGUAAACGAUGAAUACUAGGUGUGGGGGGACUGACCCCCUCCGUGCCGCAGUUAACACAAUAAGUAUUCCACCUGGGGAGUACGACCGCAAGGUUGAAACUCAAAGGAAUUGACGGGGGCCCGCACAAGCAGUGGAUUAUGUGGUUUAAUUCGACGCAACGCGAAGAACCUUACCAGGACUUGACAUCCAACUAACGAAGUAGAGAUACAUCAGGUGCCCUUCGGGGAAAGUUGAGACAGGUGGUGCAUGGUUGUCGUCAGCUCGUGUCGUGAGAUGUUGGGUUAAGUCCCGCAACGAGCACAACCCCUAUUGUUAGUUGCUACGCAAGAGCACUCUAGCGAGACUGCCGUUGACAAAACGGAGGAAGGUGGGGACGACGUCAAAUCAUCAUGCCCCUUAUAUCCUGGGCUACACACGUAAUACAAUGGCGGUCAACAGAGGGAAGCAAAGCCGCGAGGCAGAGCAAACCCCCAAAAGCCGUCCCAGUUCGGAUUGUAGGCUGCAACUCGCCUGCAUGAAGUCGGAAUCGCUAGUAAUCGCGGAUCAGCAUGCCGCGGUGAAUACGUUCCCGGGCCUUGUACACACCGCCCGUCACACCAUGAGAGUCGGGAACACCCGAAGUCCGUAGCCUAACCUGAAAAGGAGGGCGCGGCCGAAGGUGGGUUCGAUAAUUGGGGUGAAGUCGUAACAAGGUA
Molecule: ribosomal RNA, 1476 nt
Filed under: metagenome
Description: bacterial SSU rRNA
Rfam family: Bacterial small subunit ribosomal RNA
Source: RNAcentral